This is a non-coding RNA of Cucurbita pepo subsp. pepo (vegetable marrow), 355 nucleotides long. NCBI's taxonomy places the organism in Eukaryota, Viridiplantae, Streptophyta, Magnoliopsida, Cucurbitales, Cucurbitaceae. The record is from RefSeq and is a predicted model, not a curated record.
AUAGAAGUUUUAUAUUGUUAUUGCAUCUGUUUGUUAUUACGAUAAUAUAAUAUUCAUGACAGUUACACUUUGUGAUAAAAUUUUAAUUGUUGCCAACAGAACACAGACAUGUUGGGUCGACGAAUUUCAAUUUGUUAAGCAGCAGAAGCCAUACAAUAUUUACAUUGACUAUAGAGAGCAGUGCAUUUGGUGAAAGCAGUGAAGGAGAAGCUGUAAACCUGUCUCAACUGAACCUCAUCGAUCUGGCAGGUUCCGAGAGCUCAAAAGCUGAAACUACUGGUAUAAGGCGAAAAGAGGGAUCAUAUAUUAAUAAAAGCCUGCUAACUCUUGGAACAGUGAGGCUUCUCAUACAUUA